Molecule: ribosomal RNA, 301 nt
Filed under: uncultured bacterium
Lineage: Bacteria
Description: partial 16S ribosomal RNA
Rfam family: Bacterial small subunit ribosomal RNA
Source: RNAcentral
CAGCAGCCACGGUAACACGUAGGGGGCAAGCGUUGUCCGGAAUUAUUGGGCGUAAAGCGCGUGUAGGCGGCUCGAUAAGUCUGCUGUGAAAGUCCAGGGCUCAACCCUGGAAUGCCGGUGGAUACUGUCGAGCUAGAGUCCGGAAGAGGCGAGUGGAAUUCCUGGUGUAGCGGUGAAAUGCGCAGAUAUCAGGAGGAACACCAAUGGCGAAGGCAGCUCGCUGGGACGGUACUGACGCUGAGACGCGAAAGCGUGGGGAGCAAACAGGAUUAGAUACCCGAGUAGUCCCUGUCUCUUAUAC